RNAcentral lists this ribosomal RNA (699 nucleotides) under Paenibacillus lentimorbus. Its description in RNAcentral is "bacterial SSU rRNA". It matches the Rfam family "Bacterial small subunit ribosomal RNA", at positions 90 to 786 of the family's 1533-position model. Lineage: Bacteria; Bacillati; Bacillota; Bacilli; Caryophanales; Paenibacillaceae. The record is from RNAcentral.
GCUGAGCCGCGAAAGGGGGAGCAAACGUAGAUAACCUGCCCGUAAACGAUAACGCACGGAAACCUGGGCCAAUAACACAUAAGCAUUCCGCAUGGGGAAUCGGGAAAGACGGAUCAAAUCGGGGCUGCCACUUAUGGAUGGACCUACGGCGCAUUAGCUAGUUGGUGGGGUAACGGCUCACCAAGGCGACGAUGCGUAGCCGACCUGAGAGGGUGAUCGGCCACACUGGGACUGAGACACGGCCCAGACUCCUACGGGAGGCAGCAGUAGGGAAUCUUCCGCAAUGGACGCAAGUCUGACGGAGCAACGCCGCGUGAGUGAUGAAGGUUUUCGGAUCGUAAAGCUCUGUUGCCAGGGAAGAACGCUAUGGAGAGUAACUGCUCUAUAGGUGACGGUACCUGAGAAGAAAGCCCCGGCUAACUACGUGCCAGCAGCCGCGGUAAUACGUAGGGGGCAAGCGUUGUCCGGAAUUAUUGGGCGUAAAGCGCGCGCAGGCGGUCAUGUAAGUCUGGUGUUUAAACCCGGGGCUCAACUCCGGGUCGCAUCGGAAACUGUGUGACUUGAGUGCAGAAGAGGAAAGUGGAAUUCCACGUGUAGCGGUGAAAUGCGUAGAGAUGUGGAGGAACACCAGUGGCGAACCCGACUCGCUGGGGUAACCGCACCGAGACGCGAAAGUGGGGAGCAAACAGGUUAAAUACC